GGGGAGCUCGCUACUGGCCUGCCAGGGACCCCACCCACCGUGGGCUGUGGGGUUCCCGGUGCUGCGCAGGCUGGAAACGAAGCCGGCGGGUCAGGUUCCCGGGAGCAGACGUGCGUUUGUUCUCUGGGAAAGAUUCAAUGAUUUAAAAGAAAGUGCCUGUCUCCAAGGAGCAUGAACAUGAAGUCUAACUGGGCCGGUGAAAGUGCAGAAAAGAACUCUGGAUGCUGGGUCUCAUCCACACAACUGGACAGAGGAGCAACUUGACUUACACCUGACAUUUUGUGUCAUCCCCAUGUGCUGGAGAGAAAAAAUUCAAUGGAGGAGAAGAAGGACACAGGAGCAGGGAGAGAUGCGGAAAUGGAGGCACAGAGAAGUAAACAAAAUUGACUAAGGUCACAUGACUGGAACCUGAGGCAGAAGGACAUAAGCCAGUGUAUCUGCCUGUUGAGCCUACAGUUAAAAAUAAUUAUAGAGAACAUGGUGAUGUUUCAGAAACUGUCAGGUGGUACCUUUUCAAAUCAUAUUUUUUUUACAUUAUUCACUUCUAGUCUGGAGGAAAUACCUAUGGGUAAAAUGGAGAGAAGAGUGAGAAAAGAAAAGCCAAACCUUGUUCACUCAUUUCUUCCAUGGAAUUGAAACAUACCUGACCAUUAUUAUAUGAAAGUAGAUGCAGAUGAAAUUUCAAUAUAUAUAGAUUAACCAAAACUCUUUAUUGGCGAUACUUACACUUUUCCAGAAGGUGUUUGUGUGUACAGUGAUAUUAAUAAACCCGUUUAGUCUUUAGUGCAGCCAUAAAAUAAGAGACAGCAAAGACACCAGCUGUAAGAGUCAGUGCUGUCGCUGUGGUUCAGCUGAAACUAGUGGCUGAGCUUCCUGGCCGCCACUCUUGUUAGUCAGAAAGAAAGAAAUGUAACAAUGGUGUUUACAGGAGGCAAAGUUUAUUUGAAUGAAAUUCACAAAGUCAUUUAUCCCAUAGGGAAUAGUAGCCAGUAUAGAACAGCCCCUGUACUAGUAGUCAGGGUUCUCCAGAGAAACAGAACUGAUAGGGGGGGAUCAAUUUCUCUAGAUCUCUCCUGCUCUCUCAAAGUGUGUGUUAUAAGGAACUGGCUCCCUAACUGUGAUUUUGGAGGCUGACAAGUCCCAAGAUCUGCAGUCAGCAAGCUGGUGGUCCAGGAGAAGCCAGUGGUGUAGCUCUAGCUUGAAGCUGAUAUCUGAGAGCCGGGACACCUGAGGUUGUGAGUUCCAGUGUGAGUUGAAGGCAGGAGAAGACGUAUACAUCCCAGCUUAAGGACAGGCAGAGAGAGAGAGAACUUGCCUUUACUCAGCCUUUUUAUUCUAUUCAGGCUUCCAGUGGAUGGAUGCAGCUCAUCCACACUGGGGAGAGUGAUCUGCUUUACUCAGUCUACUGACUUAAGUAUUAAUAUCAUCUAGGAACUCCCUUACAACAUACUCAGAAUAAACUUUAACUAAAUAUCUGGACACCUUGUGGCCCAGUCAAGUUGACACAUAAAGUUAACCAUCAUAAUACUCUUUUUCAAACAUAAUCUUCAGUUCUCUAAUUCAUGAUGUUAGACUGUAAGAAUCAGGAUGUUGUGUUAGUAUUAAUCUAUAUUACAUUGAGUUCAAUUCUAAAAUUUGCUUAUAAUGAACAGCCAUGAGGGAAAAUGAGACUGUUUUGCUGAAUACGUGUGUCUUGCC
Molecule: long non-coding RNA, 1698 nt
Organism: Manis javanica (Malayan pangolin)
Lineage: Eukaryota; Metazoa; Chordata; Mammalia; Pholidota; Manidae
Source: RefSeq, a predicted model, not a curated record